AUGGAGAUAGCAGGACAUAAAACAGAAGAGAGAGAGACACAGAGAGAGAGAGAGACAGAGACAGAGAGAUGGCAUGCAGCAUAUAUACCCCUACAAAUAGUUCUAAAAUGCGUUUGCAAAUGCAGAAGUCUUCAGAACCAUCCAACAGUUCAGCACACCCUUUUUAUCUCUUCUCUGCGGGACGUCUCCAUCCAGAUUACUCGAAAAAAGCGGAAAAGGAGUGACUUGGUGACUUCAGUGGGAAUUCCUCAUAAACAAGAAGGGAAAAAGGUCAUCUGGAUUCUUCUGAAGGCAGGAGCCAGGGCCAGAAAUCCCCUGAAAGACCUAUGCAAGAAGAGAAUCUCACCUGCUGCCUCGUCUCCAGAGACCCUGGCCUACACUGAGGUUCAGCUAAAGGUUGGUGACUGA
Molecule: long non-coding RNA, 408 nt
Filed under: Anas platyrhynchos platyrhynchos (common mallard)
Lineage: Eukaryota; Metazoa; Chordata; Aves; Anseriformes; Anatidae
Description: lncRNA (ENSAPLG00000016728.1)
Source: RNAcentral